UGAGUAUUCUAUCAGGAGUCGAAAAAUGCGUUAAGUUAACUAACGUUUCGUCUCUUGAUGGUUUACUUAAU
RNAcentral lists this microRNA precursor (71 nucleotides) under Schmidtea mediterranea. Its description in RNAcentral is "Sme-Mir-12-P9_pre stem-loop". The record is from RNAcentral. Lineage: Eukaryota; Metazoa; Platyhelminthes; Tricladida; Dugesiidae.